UACGUAGGGGGCUAGCGUUGUCCGGAUUUAUUGGGCGUAAAGCGCGUGUAGGCGGCCAGAUAGGUCCGUUGUGAAAACUCGAGGCUUAACCUCGAGACGCCGACGGAAACCAUUUGGCUAGAGUCCGGAAGAGGAGAGUGGAAUUCCUGGUGUAGCGGUGAAAUGCGCAGAUAUCAGGAAGAACACCGGUGGCGAAGGCGGGUCUCUGGGCCACUACUGACGCUGAGGAGCGAAAGCGUGGGGAGCGAACAGG
RNAcentral lists this ribosomal RNA (253 nucleotides) under uncultured bacterium. RNAcentral's name for it is "partial 16S ribosomal RNA". It matches the Rfam family "Bacterial small subunit ribosomal RNA", at positions 524 to 776 of the family's 1533-position model. The record is from RNAcentral.